Molecule: non-coding RNA, 428 nt
Filed under: Trichomonas vaginalis G3
Lineage: Eukaryota; Parabasalia; Trichomonadida; Trichomonadidae
Description: Eukaryotic large subunit ribosomal RNA
Rfam family: Eukaryotic large subunit ribosomal RNA
Source: Rfam by way of RNAcentral
CCCAGGGAAACUGGUCAUCAGGCGAACUGCGGCGUUCUGCUGGCAAAACAUAGCUUCGGUUAUGUCAAUGGCUAUUGGAUUGGUCCAUGAAGCGAAAAAUAGUUUACUGUGUCACUCGUACCGAUAACCGCAUCAGGUCUUCUAGGUAAGUAGCCUAUGGCCAUUGAGGCAUGAUAGUUCAGGGAAUUCGGCCAAUUAGAGCUGUAACUUCGGGAUAAAGCUUGGCUCUGAUGAAAAUCAGAACCGAUUGUUACGCGGAGAGCCCAACUGUUUAAUAAAAACGUAGUGUCGCGCUGUGGUAGUAUAGCCAGUGAACGCGACAUGAAUCCUGCUCAGUGCUGUGUCUGUUAAUAUGGUUCAAGCCAACGAAGCACCAAUAAAUAGCUGGGGUAACUAUGACUCUUAUCAAAGUAGCGAAAUACCUCGUC